RNAcentral lists this ribosomal RNA (455 nucleotides) under uncultured Leptolinea sp. RNAcentral's name for it is "bacterial SSU rRNA". It matches the Rfam family "Bacterial small subunit ribosomal RNA", at positions 915 to 1382 of the family's 1533-position model. Lineage: Bacteria; Bacillati; Chloroflexota; Anaerolineae; Anaerolineales; Anaerolineaceae. The record is from RNAcentral.
GAGGGCCCCGCACAAGCAGCGGAGCGUGUGGUUUAAUUCGAUGUUACACGAAGAACCUUACCAGGGUUUGACAUGCAAGUGGUAGGAAACCGAAAGGUGACCGACCCUUCGGGGAGCUUGCACAGGUGCUGCAUGGCUGUCGUCAGCUCGUGUCGUGAGAUGUUCGGUUAAGUCCGCUAACGAGCGCAACCCUCGCUGUGUGUUAUAUGUGUCACACGGGACUGCCGGUCUUAAGCCGGAGGAAGGUGGGGAUGAUGUCAAGUCAGCAUGGCCUUUAUAUCCUGGGCUACACACACGCUACAAUGGCCAACACAAUAGGUUGCUAAGCCGCGAGGUGGCGCCAAUCCAUAAAGUUGGUCUCAGUUCAGAUUGUAGGCUGCAACCCGCCUGCAUGAAGAUGGAGUUGCUAGUAACCGCAGGUCAGCUAUACUGCGGUGAAUACGUUCCCGGGGCUU